UCCGGUUGAUCCUGCCGGACCCGACUGCUAUCAGAGUGGGACUAAGCCAUGCGAGUCAACGCAGCAAUGCGUGGCAUACGGCUCAGUAACACGUAGUCAACAUGCCCAGGGGACGUGGAUAACCUCGGGAAACUGAGGAUAAACCGCGAUAGGCCAAGGUUUCUGGAAUGGAUCAUGGCUGAAACCUAUAUGGCCCCUGGAUUGGACUGCGGCCGAUCAGGCUGUUGGUGAGGUAAUGGCCCACCAAACCUGUAACCGGUACGGGCUCUGAGAGGAGGAGCCCGGAGAUGGGCACUGAGACAAGGGCCCAGGCCCUAUGGGGCGCAGCAGGCGCGAAACCUCUGCAAUAGGCGAAAGCUUGACAGGGUUACUCUGAGUGAUGUCCGCUAAGGGCAUCUUUUGGCACUUCUAAAAAUAGUGUAGAAUAAGGGGUGGGCAAGUCUGGUGUCAGCCGCCGCGGUAAUACCAGCACCCCGAGUGGUCGGGACGAUUAUUGGGCCUAAAGCAUCCGUAGCCGGUUCUGCAAGUCUUCCGUUAAAUCCACCUGCUCAACAGAUGGGCUGCGGAGGAUACUACAGGGCUAGGAGGCGGGAGAGGCAAGCGGUACUCAGUGGGUAGGGGUAAAAUCCUCUGAUCCACUGAAGACCACCAGUGGCGAAGGCGGCUUGCCAGAACGCGCUCGACGGUGAGGGAUGAAAGCUGGGGGAGCAAACCGGAUUAGAUACCCGGGUAGUCCCAGCUGUAAACGAUGCAGACUCGGUGAUGGGUUGGCUUCGAGCCAACCCAGUGCCGCAGGGAAGCCGUUAAGUCUGCCGCCUGGGGAGUACGGUCGCAAGACUGAAACUUAAAGGAAUUGGCGGGGGAGCACCACAAGGGGUGAAGCCUGCGGUUCAAUUGGAGUCAACGCCGGAAAUCUUACCGGGAGCGACAGCAGAGUGAAGGUCAAGCUGAAGAUUUUACCAGACAAGCUGAGAGGUGGUGCAUGGCC
Molecule: ribosomal RNA, 988 nt
Filed under: uncultured archaeon
Lineage: Archaea
Description: bacterial SSU rRNA
Rfam family: Archaeal small subunit ribosomal RNA
Source: RNAcentral